GCCUGGGACGAAUACUUACGGGGGUAGAGCUCUGAUAUGGCUAGGGGGUCAUCCCGACUUACCAACCCUUUGCAAACUCCGAAUACCGUAAAGUACUAUCCGGGAGACACACGGUGGGUGCUAACGUCCAUCGUGGAGAGGGAAACACCCCAGCCCGUCAGCUAAGGUCCCAAAGUGUAUGUUAAGUGGGAAACGAUGUGGGAAGGCUAAAACAGCUAGGAGGUUGGCUUAGAAGCAGCCAUCCUUUAAAGAAAGCGUAAUAGCUCACUAGUCGAGUCGGCCUGCGCGGAAGAUGUAACGGGGCUAAACAUACCACCGAAGCUACGGCUGCAUACUUUGUAUGCGGGGUAGGGGAGCGUUCUGUAAGUGGCUGAAGGUGUGCCGGGAGGCAUGCUGGACAUAUCAGAAGUG
RNAcentral lists this ribosomal RNA (411 nucleotides) under Pseudoalteromonas phenolica. Its description in RNAcentral is "partial 23S ribosomal RNA". It matches the Rfam family "Bacterial large subunit ribosomal RNA", at positions 879 to 1290 of the family's 2925-position model. The record is from RNAcentral. Lineage: Bacteria; Pseudomonadati; Pseudomonadota; Gammaproteobacteria; Alteromonadales; Pseudoalteromonadaceae.